This 441-nucleotide ribosomal RNA is filed under the name uncultured bacterium. Its description in RNAcentral is "partial 16S ribosomal RNA". It matches the Rfam family "Bacterial small subunit ribosomal RNA", at positions 338 to 795 of the family's 1533-position model. The record is from RNAcentral.
CCUACGGGUGGCAGCAGUGGGGAAUAUUGCACAAUGGGGGAAACUCUGAUGCAGCGACGCCGCGUGAGUGAAGAAGUCUUUCGGUACGUAAAGCUCUAUCAGCAGGGAAGAAAAUGACGGUACCUGACUAAGAUGCUCCGGCUAACUCCGCUCCAGCAGCCGCGGUAAUAUGUAGGGGGCAAGCGUUAUCCGGAUUUACUGGGUGUAAAGGGAGCGUAGGUGGGAUGGUAAGCCAGGAGUGAAAACCCAGGGCUCAACUCUGUGGAUUGCUUUUGGAACUAUCGAGCUAGAGUGCUGGAGGGGUAAGCGGAAUUCCUAGUGUAGCGGUGAAAUGCGUAGAUAUUAGGAAGAACACCGGUGGCGAAGGCGGCUUACUGGACAGAAACUGACGCUGAGGCUCGAAAGCGUGGGGAGCAAACAGGAUUAGAUACCCGGGUAGUC